Molecule: non-coding RNA, 6429 nt
Organism: Oryctolagus cuniculus (rabbit)
Lineage: Eukaryota; Metazoa; Chordata; Mammalia; Lagomorpha; Leporidae
Source: RefSeq, a predicted model, not a curated record
AUUAUUGGAGGCAGAGAAAUGGAGGACAAUCAGUCCCUGAAUUCCGGAAGUCCAUGACCUGAUGACCUCUGAACCAACUUGACAGACACCACUUUCCCAUACCUCAACCUGCUACAGAGAGAAAAUUGCAGUUCUCUUCACACAAGCAGAGGAGCCUCUGUGGCAUCGUGAUUUAUUCCUGCACUCUGUCCUCAAAGAAACCAGCUGUAUCUAGCUCCCACUUCCAGUGUGGAAGCAAGAAAAGUAAUGUAUUCUUCAGUUAAAGUUCAAAGCCACUGAGAAAGAGGCAGAAUCAGAGGAAGGACUCCAUAAGGAUACGGUGGAAGGAGAUUUAUAACAGGAGUUUAGGAUCAUAGACUAUGUAAGUUAGGAGACCUCUUAGAGGCCAAUGAGCAUUUUAAAAAUUUUAUAGAUGCAUGUAUUUAUAACCGAGGAUCAGCAUUUUCAAAGAUCACAGUUGUUGGUUCAGUUAUGUUAAUUGCAUGUUGUUCGCAGUGACUCAGACUCAGAAUUCUACUCAAACACAGUAGUUGGCAGGAUGGAAGGCCCAAGUAAUUACUACAUUAAGUCAUCAUAGCAGACCCAUAGAAGGUUUGCCUUCCACACCAGAACAGUAAAGACAUGCUGAAAAGAUGAGGCCGCUACAGAAGACGCUAUUCAAGUGGCUAAAGAUCUGAUUGUGAAAAAUAAAUGUGUUUGAACAAUGCACAAAGUUGCUCCCAGUGGAGUGGAGGAAAACUUUUGUGGAUGAUAAGGUUUUUUAAGACCAGAUAUUAUUUCUUCUGGAGGGACCCCUUCCUUGAAGACAAUUUUAGCUGCUAGCUGGUCCAACAGUCUGGGUGAAUUUGCUCUUCCCGUCGGUUCUUCUUUGUGCAGAGAAGCCAAGCAGCCUUUGACCUGGGACAACACAGCCAGCUUCCUUCCCCGGGCCACACUCUCCUGCUAACCUGCAUUGGGAGUGUUCUCUGCAGAGCUUUCAACUCCCUGUUGGCAGAGCCGAAGGAGCACAUGGGCUCCAGCAGGAGGAACGGCAGCCUCCAUGGUUGCCUCUCAGCCGCCCCUCCUUUCCACUCCUCUCACAGCUCAAAGCUCCACCACAGAAUUAAAAACAUAGCUCGAGGCACCACGCAGAGCUUUAUGAGGAAGCACAGACAUUCACUCUUGCUCUAAACCCAGGGCGUGUGCUUGAAAUUGUUGUCACCUGAAAAUUAAGAAAGGAAAUGUGAAAUACCUGGAGACAAAGAGCUGUAGAGAGCUGGAAUUCACACAUGGAUAUUUCUGAUCCAAAGAGCAAGGACUAGGAAGUGUCCAGCAGUGUUUUGGUUCUUCUGCGCUCGAUAUCCUGAAUCCUACUACAAGCUCACAAGAGGGAUAGAGAGAUAUGUAAUGUCCAUUUCACAGAUGAGAAACCUGAGAUCCAAAGCCAUCAAGCAGUAAGUAAUGAAGCCGACUCUAAAAUGUAGGCCUCUUUGAUUCCACAUCCCCUCAUAAUUCCAUGUCUCCUACAUCUAUAUAGGACCACGAUGAAAGGAAGCAUUUGUACCAAUUGGUCAUUCAUUUUCCGGGUAAACAGAUGGAAAGACAAUUCAGAGUCCCCAUUUCAUAGUUGGUUUAUCUUUCCUUAAACCAGUCGUCCCUCUACUUCUCUCCAUGUGGCUGAUUCAACCAGCUCAGAAACCCAAAGAGCUUCCAGUUGCCAAGCCAUCUGAGAAACACUUCAUCAGCCUGCAACUUCAGGCCUGCCAAGUACAAUUCUAGCGCACACUCCCAAAACUCAGAACCACAACUCUUCAUGGCUCCCACCAAACAAUUCCACACACCGAACCUGGGUUCCCAUUUGCAUUAAUAUCAUCAGUGUGAAAUUAUUCUAAAUACUUAUUUUCUAUCAUCAAAGGAAUGGUAAGUUGGUCAAGACAAGGCCCAUGCCCACAUCAUGUCGACUGUUCUCAUGACGCCAUUUUGUAGUACAUAGCCAACAGUUUGAAAUGAGUAGACUUAGGAUUGAUUUCUAUAAAAAUACACAAUUCAAAGCAAAAUAUAAGUGCUCAAUCCUUAGACUAGAGCAAUCUAGUUGCUGUUGCUUUUUUAUGAGUCUAUGUUCUGAAUGCAAAGUUUAAAAAUCAGUUUGAAGUGUUCCCUGUUUGUUUAAAGGGGAAUGGGAGAGAUCCUUUAUUAAUAUUGAGAUCUACAUGAAAUCAUGUUAGAGAAAUGCCCAGGAAGGAAGUGGCUGUAUCUUUGCAGGUAGCUUGUCUCUGACUCUGUUGCGAAAGCAUUUUGCUACAGAUGCUGGCAUGCCCAUCUACGGGGAAGCUUUCUAUGCCAAGAGGUUGCCAGGUGGAGAGAGAAGGUAAGUCUUGCAAAGCUACCAAGAAAAAUGCCACACCAUGAAGGACACAUUUGGAGGCAACUCCCUCUAUUAUGAAUUGAAACAUUUGGCAAAUCACAAGAGCCUCUGAUUUGUGUAUGCUUGUGUCUCCCCUUGUAAAAGGAAGUAACUUUUGAGUGCCCCAAAUAACCAAGUUUCAACAUGUACAGAGUACCUUGGUUUAAAAAAAAAAAAAAAAAAGCCUCUUCUGAGAAAAGCAUUUUUCUGACUCUCAUCUGUUCCCAUUUCCGCUCAAGAGAGAGUCAGGGUAGAAGGCCUGGAAUACGUACACAGGCAAUUAGAACCAGAGCUCCACAAACUCUGGCCCAGCUCCCCAUGGCCCUGGUGGAAACAGCCAGGAUUGUGUAGAAAGGUGGUUUGUAGAGAUGGUUCUGAGACAAAUCAAGAAUCCAAGUUUUCUCUCCCAACACUUUCCUAUGGAUCAUGCUCUUGAGGCUAAAAAGAUGUUCACUCUCCUCACAUUGGAGGAGUUUGAAAUAGAAAUUUCAAGGAAUUAUAUGUGAUGCACUAUUUUAUUUUUUCCUUUAGUUUAUUGAUGAUCUUUCAUACCACAAGUUAUAUAGACAAAGCAAAAAUGCCCUUCUCUAAGUUCUACAUGCAAAUACAGUCCACAAUUAACCUUUUUCCUCCUGCUAUUGGUCAAUGGGAGUCAUUGAAAUGAUUCUGUGAGAUUCAGAUGCUCCAUGGCUUAUCUUCUAAAUAGCAGAGGUAAAAUUCACACAACAAAAAGGCCAUGCUUCAUGUAGGUACACUGCUGCAAUAAAAGAAGUUGCGGAGUUCAGAGGAUGCAGAUGUGGGCUUAGAUCUCAGUGCUCAUAUUCCUCCAUGACAUUACAGAAAUCCCUUUAACCGAAUUGAGCAGACCAUUGUAGGGCUGUGUGUGGAAUGCCUGGAACCACUAGAGUAGAUUUAAAAUGCUUCACCAAGCACAACUCGGAAAAGCAAGUCAGCAGAAAAGGAAUUUCUGAAUUCUUUUGCACUCCUGGUAGCUUCUUUUGCUCUGACCAAAACCUGCCAAAUCAGAAAUUGGGAGGGUGUAGGGGGAGGCUUAAGAAGGAAAGUGAUGUGAAAUACCAAACUAUGUACAAAGUCAGGAAGUUUCAUACAUUUCCUGAAAUAGAACUGAUUCACCUACAUUCCACAGUUUUUAUUUGCUUUGGGGUAAGUAAGAUAAAGUUUACUUUUUUUUUUCUCAAGUUGUUCUUGUUUUUUAAUUUAUCUUCAUGUGGCAAAAGUAUUGCUUUGCAUAUACAUGGGUUUGGAAUUUUAUGAUUUUGCCUUUAUUGGUGAUUUCUCUUUGUCACAGAGUUUUGCGUCUCCAACCCAGGCCCAGAGCAACAGCAUCAAUAAAUGCUGCGAUCCUUCCUUUCUUGCCCAAUCCUAGUAGCUUUUAUCUCAGCGUGGCAGACUUUGAAUACAUGAGUGAGAACAAUCAACCAUAUUUCUACAUUCCAUCCAGAGAUCCACUCCACAGAUGAUCACCUGUCACCCCUCAGGCCCAGUAUAUGUGCAUCAGCAACUCAGUAAGCUCUUGGAGGGACAGACUCAUUGAAGAAGCUCAUACAAGCCCUGAAAACAGGGGCAGGGCCAUUUGGACAGGGAACUUCAGGAUGUCAGGUAUUCAGCAUGGUAUGGAACAAUGCUUGAUAAGCAUUAAAGUGCAUUCGAUUCACCCUGGCCCUUGCAUAAAUUCUGAUUCAGUCAGUCUGGAGUAGAACUGGUGGCUCUGGACUUUAUACUUCUAACAAGUUCCUCCUGCUACCAGUUCUAAGAACAAGUAGCUGGCAAGGGAGUAGUGUGGGUGCUGGGUCAACGAACCACUUGGUCACUGAGGGCUAGCUCCUCACACUAUAGGGAUGAGCACAAUUAGAAAAUGAUCAAAGAAGGGCUGUCUGAAGUGUGGGCCCAGGCAUAGGUCUUGGUUGACUAAUGAAAGGCAUGAUGGUUGUUACCUGAUUGUAAACUUAGAAUCUACACAGGACAGGUUUCUAGCACUGAAUUACUGUUUCAGGCAAAAUUCAAAGGCUUUAAUUCAUACAACUUCCCUAAUCUACAGUAAAAUUAUCAAAUAAAAUUUGUUUCAUUAUUAAAGCACACUGAGGUUUGCUUGAUGAUUAUUUAAGUAUUUAAAAUGGUAUCAAUAUUUGUCUUAUAGUUAGUCCUUCUAUAUGCAUGGUAUGCAUUUGUAUAUCUGGGUAUGUACCCUGCUUUAUUUUAAAAAGCAACAACAACUACAACAAACACCUACUUCCUUCAACCACUCCUCAAUUGACAAGGUUCAAAUCCCUUCUCCAGCCAGGUUCCCCUCUUCUGAACAUGUUCUAGUUUUCUGAAGUCCUUAUUAAAGUAUGUGACCAAGCAAGGAAAACAAUACUCUAACAGCGAUCCAGUCAUUGUGGAGUAUGCCAUGACGACCUCCCCCUUCCUUUUAGAGGCUGCAUGUGUGCUAAGCCAGCCAACAACAACACUAGCUGUGCUGGUGAAUUAAGACACUGCCAACACACUUCGUGUUCACCAUCAAACACAUUUUCAAAUGUCUUUUUAAAAAAUACUAUCAAAUAUAAUGGAUUAUACAACAAAGGAUGUAAAAUAGGAACUGCAGGAAAAAGUUUUAAGUCUUUGUCACACCUACUGCUGCUAAACUAUAUCAUGAAGAGUUGAUUUUCAAACUGAGAUUCGGAGAAAUUAAGCAAGGAAAAUAUAGCUCAUAGUUAAAUUCCACAUUUGGCACCUGAUCUUUCAUAAAGAAGCUUUUGAUCAAAAACUAAAGGUAGAACAAACAAACCCUCCCAAUGACUUAUUUAGGCUAAAUGCUCAAGGCAAACGCAAGAGGAAUUGCAUGUGUAAUAUCUUAGUAAGACAGGCACUGAGUUGCCAGCUCAUCAGCAAGUGUGCCUCCACAUAGUUCUUAAAUUAAGGGAGAUAAAACCCCAAAUGAGUUUUUAAAAAUCUACCCUGGUCAAAGUUUAAGAAAUGGCUCAUGUGUUUUAAAAAAUGCAUCUUUUAAAAAUGAAAUAAAAUAAAUCACCUUUUCACAACAUAAUUUAGUAGGAGAACAUUUAGAGUCUAGCAAAUUAAUUCUAUUUACAUUGUAAAUAGAGACUAUUAAGAGCCAAAGAGAAAAUUUGAGCAUGACCUUUUCUUAAUCCUGCCUCAUGACCAGUAUAGCAGCAUGUACCACUGGGAACUAACUUCUGAUCAUUUAAAUUAAAGGUAUUUGGGUACAAAUGAAGACUUCUUCAACCACAUCCCCACAUAUAUUCCCUACAGACAGCAAAGAAGAAAUGAGUCUUAGAAUAUCAAAGAGGCAUCUUCAUAAUAGUCUGAAUGGGAAAUAAACCAAGCGCUCCUUUGCAAGCUCUCUUUUGCAAUCUGAGUAGUGGGUAACAGAGUUUAUGUUGACUAAAGUUCUGAAUACUAUGCAAAAAUGAAUUCUUAUUUAAAGGCUUAGAGUUAUUAUUUAGCAACAAUAUCAUCCAUUCAUUCAUUCAAAUGUAUGCUGAGUGGAAUUUUAUGUUAAAAAAAGAUCUUCCAUAGGCAGUGUUCAUUGGAGAUGAAAAAGGAAAUUUUUCUGCAUUCAGGGUGCUCACAGUCUACUAGGAAGAUAUGUGUUCUAAGACAGGAGGAGAAAACCACAAGAAGCAAAGUCUGUAUUACAGAUGGGGAGACUCCUUGUGAGUCUUCAGAAUUAGUUAAUCACUAAAGAAGUGACAAUUUCAUUGGAAAAUCAAAAUUUAAUAAGAAGUGGGUAUUGAAACACUAGGCAAAAGUUAUGCUAAUAGAAGGACAUAUGGGAAAGUGUUGGAGUUUUUCUACAUCUCACCCUAGGCAGAGUGAAUAAUGAGUGUCACUCUUUUAAAAAAAAAAAAAAAAAAAGAUUUUAAUUAUUUGAGAGGUAGAGUUACAGGCAGUGAGAAGGAGAGACAGACAGAAAGGUCUUCACUCCCCAAAUGCCUGCAAAGGCCAGAGCUGCAUCCACCCGAAGCCAGGAACCAGGAACUUCCUCCUGGUCUCCCACAUGGGUGCAGAGGCCCAAGCACUCA